This 502-nucleotide ribosomal RNA is filed under the name Didymella glomerata. RNAcentral describes it as "eukaryotic LSU rRNA". The stretch from base 133 to 286 matches the Rfam family "5.8S ribosomal RNA". Lineage: Eukaryota; Fungi; Ascomycota; Dothideomycetes; Pleosporales; Didymellaceae. The record is from RNAcentral.
UGUAGGCUUUGCCUGCUAUCUCUUACCCAUGUCUUUUAAGUACCUUACGUUUCCUCGGCGGGUCCGCCCGCCGAUUGGACAAUUUAAACCAUUUGCAGUUGCAAUCAGCGUCUGAAAAAACUUAAUAGUUACAACUUUCAACAACGGAUCUCUUGGUUCUGGCAUCGAUGAAGAACGCAGCGAAAUGCGAUAAGUAGUGUGAAUUGCAGAAUUCAGUGAAUCAUCGAAUCUUUGAACGCACAUUGCGCCCCUUGGUAUUCCAUGGGGCAUGCCUGUUCGAGCGUCAUUUGUACCUUCAAGCUCUGCUUGGUGUUGGGUGUUUGUCUCGCCUCUGCGUGUAGACUCGCCUCAAAACAAUUGGCAGCCGGCGUAUUGAUUUCGGAGCGCAGUACAUCUCGCGCUUUGCACUCAUAACGACGACGUCCAAAAGUACAUUUUUACACUCUUGACCUCGGAUCAGGUAGGGAUACCCGCUGAACUUAAGCAUAUCAAUAAGCGGAGG